Molecule: long non-coding RNA, 3349 nt
Filed under: Oryctolagus cuniculus (rabbit)
Lineage: Eukaryota; Metazoa; Chordata; Mammalia; Lagomorpha; Leporidae
Description: lncRNA (ENSOCUG00000031586.1)
Source: RNAcentral
AUGGAUGCAGCCCUUCAUUGGAGAGAAGGAAUACCCUUCAGUGGAGAGAAGGAAUACCCUUCAGUGGAGAGAAGGAAUACCCUUCAGUGGGGAGAACGAAUACCGAGUUUGAUCAAAAUAUCUCUAAGAGGAAGAGGGGUUCAGCAGGCUCUCCCUGUUCGAUGGAAAGCAACACCUUUAACUCUCUUCAGGGCCUCUUGCUGUGUUGCUCUAUUUCCCAAGCAGAGGGAAAGAUGCAUCAUUAUGUCCUGCAGUAGAGUCCAAAGAAUGUGCCACAAAAUAUUAGCUUUAUUGGUUGUCAAGAGGGAUCAUGUGUAGCAAUAGGUGAGCAGAAUUAAACAAAAUAUUUAAUAUUUGUCAGUUUUAAAUAUGCCAGUAUUAAUCCACAAAAGAGAGAGAGAUAGUUUCCCAAGUUUCACUAAAUCACUUGGCCAGGAAAGCCUCUGGCAUAAGAACUUUGAGAAAUCGUGUUUCAGGGAAAUUGUUCACAAGAAUCUAUCAAGGUUUGGACCAGCUUGGCUUUGGUGUAGGGGAAGAUAGAAAAGAAACACAAUUGAGGAGAAGGAACAAAAAGUGGAGAGGAGCCAAAACAAACUUCAGCUUUGUGGAAUUUUCCUGGGAUUUGCCUUAGUUUGUGAAUGGCUAUUAAUGAUACACCCAAUUCUCUUAGACCACCCCUCGCUCCCCUGGUUUUCUGUAGUCAGUGAUAUGUGAAUGCCUUUAGCAUGCAGCUCAGUACUGAACUCUAGGGGAGUGUUGCUUUGGGCAUCUGUAGAGUGUCCAGGACUGCUGCGGCUGUGCUAAGUUUGUGCUACUUGACAGUAGAACUAGAAAGCUUACAGUCAACCGAUUUGUGUGGGUUUAGGUGGAUGAGGGUGUGGAGAAGUCUGUGUGGGUGGAGGAGGGGCAGUGCUAUGUGUUCUGUGUGUGGUCAUUAGUAGAGAAUUCACUCAGAAACUGAGCAAAAUUAGCCAGUAAGGUCAAGAAAGCCCGGGGCUAAUGAGACACUGGUUUUCUGAGUGUCUCCUUGAUUUCGGUUUUUCUAAUUGAUACUUGAUCUAUAUAUGUGUCAUGUCUUGUUGGAUUUAGUGUUUUUAAGAGCAAGAUUUAGAAACGAUUCUUUACUUGAGAGGAACACUUCUACAUAACAGGUGCCAGAUCCCAUCUACUGGCUUACUCCUUGAAUUGCCUGUGAUGGUUGGUACUGGGCAGGUCAGGAGCUGAGAGCCAGGAGUGCAGUCAGGUCUCCCUUAUUCCUGCUCUGGAUGUUAUUUGAGCCAUUGUUGAAGCUUCCAGGGUCUGCUUUAGCAGGAAGCUGGAGUCAUGAGCCAGAGCCCAGAAUCAAAUGGAGGUUUCGUGAUAUGUGAGUGUUUUAGCUGUGAGGCUAAAAACACUGCCCUGAGAGUGAGAAUUUGUCAUGCACUACUCCACGCAUUCAAGUGCUGGUAAUUGUUAUCAUUGUUGUGUUAUGUGCAUUUGGUGCAGAUGCUGAAGUAAGCAUAAGGCUUUGUGUAGUGCUAAGCAGUCAGCAGAAACCCAUGAGAAUAUUGUGGCAGAUAUACUUCUUGCAACAUUUUAUUAGACAUUUUUUAUACACCACUGUUUUGACAAGCUACUGUUGCAAAGGUAAUUUACCAGGAAAGUUCACCUUGUAAUUGAAAUUUUCCACAUAAACUUUAGAUGGUUUAUUUUCUUUCUUUUUUUUUUUUUGUAUUUUGUUUUGAAGUUUUAGGCUCAGGUUUUUAAAAGAAUUUUAUAAAUCAUGAAGUUCAUUUUAUGUGUAGGAAACUUAGGUGAUCUUAUAUAAAUACAGAUAUAAUUUGUUAAUUGAGUAAAUAGCCAAAUGAUCCACUAAGAAGUUUGAAUGUUUUGUAAGUUCGUUAAACUCAAAACUGUCACAUCAAAACUGUGUUGAAAUAUUACCCCGUUCCAGGUAAUCUGGCAAUUACAAAAAAGAUAAAAGAUAACAAAGGUUGACAAGGAUGUGAAGAAAAGAGAACUCUCGCUGUGGUUGGUGAGAGCAUAAAUUAGUAUAGCCAUCAUUGGAAACAAUAUGUAAGUUCUUCAAGAAACUAAAAGUAGAACUACCAUCAAUGCUGCUGCUGGGAAAUGAAACCAGCCUGGACAUCUGCACCCCCAUCUUGCUUGCAGCACACUGUUCACAGUAGCCAAGAAACAGGAACAACCGAGUGCCCGUCCUCUAAUGAGUGAGUAAGGCGAUGUGGUGAGUCUAUAUACACAAUGGGACACUACUCACCUGUGAAAAAGAACGAACGGUUGCCAUCUGUGCCACAUGGUUGGAACUGGAUCAGGUUGGAACCUGACAUCCCUGCUCCCCCAGUGAAUCGUGAUUCUAAAUCCAGUUGUAAUAUAUAAACUGGAAAGGACUAAAAUAGGUAUUACCUCAAAAAACAUAUACAUUUUUUCUUUAAGUACGCUUCAAAUAUAUUUUUUAUGAAAUUAAAAAAAAACUUGAUAGUUACAUUUUCCUUUUUGCCUGUGACAAUAAUUGAAUUUGGGCCUGCCAUUUGUGGCAAGUACUUGGGUUGCCCUUUUCUGUGCCCACAUCCCAUAUUGGAGUGCCUGGUGGAAGUCCCCGCUUGUCGCUCCCCUUCUUCGUGGAGGAAUGACACUAAACCCUGCCUAGGCUUCAUAUCCGAGUCACGGCACCAUUAUGUUGCUCCCCCUCUUCGUGGAGGAACGACACCAAACCCUGCCUAGGCUUCAUAUCCGAGUCACGGCACCAUUAUGUCGCUCCCCCUCUUCGUGGAGGAGCAACACUAAACCCUGCGCUGUUCUUUCGUCUGCUCGGCCCUCCCCGGGUUUGCUGCUGGUUCUUCCCGGGUUGGCUACUAUCCCUUCCACCUCCGUGGAAGGGCAGUUCCCCCUGGCCACAUUCCCCACUUCCGCAGGGGAGUGGCACACCGCCGGCCGGCUCUUCUCGGGGGCUGCACAGGUGUUCCCUUAGAUGUUCCCCAUAGAUGUUCCCGGUGCAUGCCGUCUCUCUCCUCCUUUAUAGUCCUCCUCCGCCAAUCCUAACUCGGCUGCCCACACGCCGAGUACGCUGCUCUCCUCCAAUCAGGAGCAAGUCCUACAGUUUAUUAGUUGAACUGGAGGCAGCUGUGCGGAAGCUGUUUACUCCUCUCCCAGCGCCAUAUUGUGGGAGAGCAGAUGCAUAGAAUAAGUCUUAAUUCCAGUAACUCAGUCCAGUCCGGAUUGCUCCCCACACCCGCUACUCUGCUUCCAAACCAGCUUUCUUCUACUGUGCAUCCUCAGAGGCAAUGGAUGAUGGCUCAAGUACUUGGGUCCCUGCAAUAAAUGUGUAUCAUCCAGAUGGAAUUCCUGGUUC